Molecule: ribosomal RNA, 428 nt
Filed under: bacterium
Lineage: Bacteria
Description: partial 16S ribosomal RNA
Rfam family: Bacterial small subunit ribosomal RNA
Source: RNAcentral
UAGGGAAUCUUGCGCAAUGGGCGAAAGCCUGACGCAGCGACGCCGCGUGCGGGAAGAAGGCCUUCGGGUUGUAAACCGCUUUCAGGAGGGACGAAGCCACUCGGGUUAAUAGCCCAGAGGGUGACGGUACCUCCAGAAGAAGCCCCGGCUAACUACGUGCCAGCAGCCGCGGUAAUACGUAGGGGGCGAGCGUUGUCCGGAUUUAUUGGGCGUAAAGAGCGUGUAGGCGGCCAGGUAGGUCCGUUGUGAAAACUCGAGGCUCAACCUCGAGACGUCGAUGGAAACCAUCUGGCUAGAGUUCGGAAGAGGAGAGUGGAAUUCCUGGUGUAGCGGUGAAAUGCGCAGAUAUCAGGAAGAACACCUAUGGCGAAGGCAGCUCUCUGGGACGGUACUGACGCUGAGACGCGAAAGCGUGGGGAGCGAACAGG